UUCAGAUCCUGAUCUUUUCAAAUAUCAAUUUGCUUACUAAAGUGUUCAAGCAUAUAAAUUUUAAUUCUGAAUAUUUUGAUUUAUUGAUUCAUUUACUGUUUACUAUUAAGAGAUCAAAAAAUAAUGUAGAAAACAAUUCUUCCACAAGAGUUAUCCAUCUCUUCCACAAGAAAAUCCUUGAGUUAAUUCUUGUAAUGGAAAACUUUUUAUGGAAAAAAAAGAAUCGUUGCAAUGAAAAAUAAUAUCAAUAUAAAAAUAUUUAAAUAAGAGUUUCAACAAGACGAAAAUGCAGUAACAUCUAAAAAUAAAUUCUAAUAAUAAAAAAAUUACAGGAAAAUAUCAAAAAAAAAUUUAAGAAAUUAAGACAGAACUUUUAUGUGAGAAUAUCGAAAGAAGAUAGCUGGAAUAUAAGAAAAUAUCAAA
Long non-coding RNA from Apis cerana (Asiatic honeybee), 423 nucleotides. RefSeq lists it as uncharacterized. Lineage: Eukaryota; Metazoa; Arthropoda; Insecta; Hymenoptera; Apidae. The record is from RefSeq and is a predicted model, not a curated record.